GUUCUCACUUCAGCAGCACAUAUACUAAAAUUGGAAUGAUACAGAGAAGAUUAGUAUGGCCUCUGUGCAAGGAAGAUAUACAAAUUUAUGAAGUAUUUUUAAAAUAA
Molecule: small nuclear RNA, 107 nt
Filed under: Catagonus wagneri (Chacoan peccary)
Lineage: Eukaryota; Metazoa; Chordata; Mammalia; Artiodactyla; Tayassuidae
Source: RNAcentral